GCUUGUCUCAAAGAUUAAGCCAUGCAUGUCUUAGUGUAAAUAACUCUUAUGAAACUGCGAAUGGCUCAUUAAAUCAGUUAUCGUUUAUUUGAUGGUCCCUUACUACAUGGAUAACCGUAGUAAUUCUAGAGCUAAUACAUGCGUAAAAUCCCGACUCUCGCGGGGAGGGAUGUAUUUAUUAGAUUAAAAGCCAAUGCGGGCUUCUGCCCGGUAUUGUGGUGAGUCAUAGUAACUUUUCGAAUCGCAUGGCUUCACGCCGGCGAUAGUUCAUUCAAAUUUCUGCCCUAUCAGCUUUCGACGGUAGUGUAGUGGACUACCGUGGCAUUUACGGGUGACGGAGAAUUAGGGUUCGAUUCCGGAGAGGGAGCCUGAGAAACGGCUACCACAUCCAAGGAAGGCAGCAGG
RNAcentral lists this ribosomal RNA (405 nucleotides) under uncultured Protaspa. Its description in RNAcentral is "partial small subunit ribosomal RNA". It matches the Rfam family "Eukaryotic small subunit ribosomal RNA", at positions 30 to 432 of the family's 1831-position model. Lineage: Eukaryota; Cercozoa; Thecofilosea; Cryomonadida. The record is from RNAcentral.